This is a non-coding RNA of Mycena epipterygia, 94 nucleotides long. The record is from the annotation of a GenBank genome assembly. NCBI's taxonomy places the organism in Eukaryota, Fungi, Basidiomycota, Agaricomycetes, Agaricales, Mycenaceae.
GGCUCGAUGGCGGACGGCCCGCACCUGCAUUAUGUCGUUGGCAAGAAAACGGUGCAUGUUGCAGGGAACGCUCGUUCGACUCGGGCUCGAGCCA